GAGUUUGAUCAUGGCUCAGAACGUACGCUGGCGGCACGCCUAACACAUGCAAGUCGAACGAAGUAGCAAUACUUAGUGGCAGACGGGUGAGUAACAUGUAGGUAUCUGCCCUUUGGCCUGGAAUAACACGAGGAAACUUGUGCUAAUACCGGAUAAGUCUUUACGGAGAAAGCUUUAUGCACCAUUGGAUGAGCCUGCACUUGAUUAGUUUGUUGGUGGGGUAAUGGCCUACCAAGACUGUGAUCAAUAGCUGAUUUGAGAGGAUGAUCAGC
This 272-nucleotide ribosomal RNA is filed under the name uncultured Alphaproteobacteria bacterium. RNAcentral describes it as "partial 16S ribosomal RNA". It matches the Rfam family "Bacterial small subunit ribosomal RNA", at positions 9 to 308 of the family's 1533-position model. Lineage: Bacteria; Pseudomonadati; Pseudomonadota; Alphaproteobacteria. The record is from RNAcentral.